RNAcentral lists this ribosomal RNA (1551 nucleotides) under Klebsiella pneumoniae. RNAcentral's name for it is "bacterial SSU rRNA". It matches the Rfam family "Bacterial small subunit ribosomal RNA". Lineage: Bacteria; Pseudomonadati; Pseudomonadota; Gammaproteobacteria; Enterobacterales; Enterobacteriaceae. The record is from RNAcentral.
AAAUUGAAGAGUUUGAUCAUGGCUCAGAUUGAACGCUGGCGGCAGGCCUAACACAUGCAAGUCGAGCGGUAGCACAGAGAGCUUGCUCUCGGGUGACGAGCGGCGGACGGGUGAGUAAUGUCUGGGAAACUGCCUGAUGGAGGGGGAUAACUACUGGAAACGGUAGCUAAUACCGCAUAACGUCGCAAGACCAAAGUGGGGGACCUUCGGGCCUCAUGCCAUCAGAUGUGCCCAGAUGGGAUUAGCUAGUAGGUGGGGUAACGGCUCACCUAGGCGACGAUCCCUAGCUGGUCUGAGAGGAUGACCAGCCACACUGGAACUGAGACACGGUCCAGACUCCUACGGGAGGCAGCAGUGGGGAAUAUUGCACAAUGGGCGCAAGCCUGAUGCAGCCAUGCCGCGUGUGUGAAGAAGGCCUUCGGGUUGUAAAGCACUUUCAGCGGGGAGGAAGGCGGUGAGGUUAAUAACCUCAUCGAUUGACGUUACCCGCAGAAGAAGCACCGGCUAACUCCGUGCCAGCAGCCGCGGUAAUACGGAGGGUGCAAGCGUUAAUCGGAAUUACUGGGCGUAAAGCGCACGCAGGCGGUCUGUCAAGUCGGAUGUGAAAUCCCCGGGCUCAACCUGGGAACUGCAUUCGAAACUGGCAGGCUAGAGUCUUGUAGAGGGGGGUAGAAUUCCAGGUGUAGCGGUGAAAUGCGUAGAGAUCUGGAGGAAUACCGGUGGCGAAGGCGGCCCCCUGGACAAAGACUGACGCUCAGGUGCGAAAGCGUGGGGAGCAAACAGGAUUAGAUACCCUGGUAGUCCACGCCGUAAACGAUGUCGAUUUGGAGGUUGUGCCCUUGAGGCGUGGCUUCCGGAGCUAACGCGUUAAAUCGACCGCCUGGGGAGUACGGCCGCAAGGUUAAAACUCAAAUGAAUUGACGGGGGCCCGCACAAGCGGUGGAGCAUGUGGUUUAAUUCGAUGCAACGCGAAGAACCUUACCUGGUCUUGACAUCCACAGAACUUAGCAGAGAUGCUUUGGUGCCUUCGGGAACUGUGAGACAGGUGCUGCAUGGCUGUCGUCAGCUCGUGUUGUGAAAUGUUGGGUUAAGUCCCGCAACGAGCGCAACCCUUAUCCUUUGUUGCCAGCGGUUCGGCCGGGAACUCAAAGGAGACUGCCAGUGAUAAACUGGAGGAAGGUGGGGAUGACGUCAAGUCAUCAUGGCCCUUACGACCAGGGCUACACACGUGCUACAAUGGCAUAUACAAAGAGAAGCGACCUCGCGAGAGCAAGCGGACCUCAUAAAGUAUGUCGUAGUCCGGAUUGGAGUCUGCAACUCGACUCCAUGAAGUCGGAAUCGCUAGUAAUCGUAGAUCAGAAUGCUACGGUGAAUACGUUCCCGGGCCUUGUACACACCGCCCGUCACACCAUGGGAGUGGGUUGCAAAAGAAGUAGGUAGCUUAACCUUCGGGAGGGCGCUUACCACUUUGUGAUUCAUGACUGGGGUGAAGUCGUAACAAGGUAACCGUAGGGGAACCUGCGGUUGGAUCACCUCCUUACCUUAAAGAAG